AACGUACGCUGGCGGCACGCCUAACACAUGCAAGUCGAACGCAGUAGCAAUACUGAGUGGCAGACGGGUGAGUAACAUGUGGGAAUCUGCCUUGUGGUUCAGGACAACAUUGGGAAACCGAUGCUAAUACUGGAUAAGCCCUUACGGGGAAAGUUUUAAUGCCAUAAGAUGAGCCCGCAUUUGAUUAGUUAGUUGGUGAGGUAAUGGCUCACCAAGGCAACGACGGGUAGCCGGCCUGAGAGGGCGACCG
RNAcentral lists this ribosomal RNA (250 nucleotides) under uncultured bacterium. Its description in RNAcentral is "partial 16S ribosomal RNA". It matches the Rfam family "Bacterial small subunit ribosomal RNA", at positions 29 to 306 of the family's 1533-position model. The record is from RNAcentral.